RNAcentral lists this ribosomal RNA (305 nucleotides) under uncultured bacterium. Its description in RNAcentral is "bacterial SSU rRNA". It matches the Rfam family "Bacterial small subunit ribosomal RNA", at positions 338 to 641 of the family's 1533-position model. The record is from RNAcentral.
CCUACGGGGGGCAGCAGUGAGGAAUAUUGGUCAAUGGGCGAGAGCCUGAACCAGCCAAGUCGCGUGAGGGAGUACUGCCCUAUGGGUUGUAAACCUCUUUUGUCGGGGAGCAAAAGCCGGACGUGUCCGGCUGUGAGAGUACCCGAAGAAAAAGCAUCGGCUAACUCCGUGCCAGCAGCCGCGGUAAUACGUAGGGGGCAAGCGUUAUCCGGAUUUACUGGGUGUAAAGGGAGCGCAGACGGCUGUGCAAGUCUGGAGUGAAAGGCGGGGGCCCAACCCCCGGACUGCUCUGGAAACUGUAAAGG